UGUUGUUACAGGUUUCCCAGGUUGGCAUCGGGUCUUCAUUCCCCCAAUGACUUCGUUGCCAGCCUUCUCAUAAGGACUCACUUCAUGUUCAAAGAUUACAGUGAUGGUCUGAAAUCUUCUUGUACCAGACACAUAUCUGGUUGCCUUCUGUUCCAUCAUUUAGAAUUAACACCAACACAGAGGUUGCUCUUCAGCCAGUCACAGAAGAGGUGGUGGUCCCAUCCACCAAUUGGGUGACAGAUGAGAAGGAAGUGUUGGAACACAAUGGGACAGAACGAUCCGUGAGUCCACCGGGAAGAGACGAAGAAGGUUUUCCAGAAUUGGCUGUUUGUCAUUUGGAAGAAGAGGAGGAAGAGGAGGACAUGUUGAAGAGAAUGAAGAACAGGA
This is a long non-coding RNA of Esox lucius (northern pike), 387 nucleotides long. NCBI's taxonomy places the organism in Eukaryota, Metazoa, Chordata, Actinopteri, Esociformes, Esocidae. The record is from Ensembl.